This 253-nucleotide ribosomal RNA is filed under the name uncultured bacterium. RNAcentral's name for it is "partial 16S ribosomal RNA". It matches the Rfam family "Bacterial small subunit ribosomal RNA", at positions 524 to 776 of the family's 1533-position model. The record is from RNAcentral.
GACGAACCUUGCUAACGUUAUUCGGAAUUACUGGGCUUAAAGGGUGCGUAGGCGGUGCAGCAAGUCGGGUGUGAAAUCCUCCAGCUCAACUGGAGAAUUGCGCCCGAAACUGCUGUGCUUGAGAAAGAUAGAGGUACGCGGAACUUAGGGUGGAGCGGUGAAAUGCGUUGAUAUCUGGAGGAACACCGGUGGCGAAGGCGGCAUCCUGGACCGGUAUUGACGCUGAGGCGCGAAAGCCAGGGGAGCAAACGGG